GUAUAUAGCUCAAUGUUAGAGUGCUUGCCUUGCAUGCAUGAGACACUGGGAUCAAUUCUCAGCACUAAAUA
RNAcentral lists this transfer RNA (71 nucleotides) under Marmota monax (woodchuck). Its description in RNAcentral is "tRNA.Ala". The stretch from base 6 to 62 matches the Rfam family "tRNA", at positions 8 to 63 of the family's 71-position model. Rfam says of the family: Transfer RNA (tRNA) molecules are approximately 80 nucleotides in length. Their secondary structure includes four short double-helical elements and three loops (D, anti-codon, and T loops). Further hydrogen bonds mediate the characteristic L-shaped molecular structure. tRNAs have two regions of fundamental functional importance: the anti-codon, which is responsible for specific mRNA codon recognition, and the 3' end, to which the tRNAs corresponding amino acid is attached (by aminoacyl-tRNA synthetases). tRNAs cope with the degeneracy of the genetic code in two manners: having more than one tRNA (with a specific anti-codon) for a particular amino acid; and 'wobble' base-pairing, i.e. permitting non-standard base-pairing at the 3rd anti-codon position. The record is from RNAcentral. Lineage: Eukaryota; Metazoa; Chordata; Mammalia; Rodentia; Sciuridae.